GCCCCACCCAGUAUGGUGGUUAAUACACUCGGUUUGUUAUCGAGUGGGCUUGGGUUCGAAUCCCGAAUAAGGCA
Molecule: transfer RNA, 74 nt
Filed under: Trichonephila inaurata madagascariensis
Lineage: Eukaryota; Metazoa; Arthropoda; Arachnida; Araneae; Nephilidae
Description: tRNA-Thr
Rfam family: tRNA (bases 10-66)
About the family: Transfer RNA (tRNA) molecules are approximately 80 nucleotides in length. Their secondary structure includes four short double-helical elements and three loops (D, anti-codon, and T loops).
Source: RNAcentral